UACAGAGGUGGCAAGCGUUGUUCGGAAUUACUGGGCGUAAAGAGUGCGUAGGCGGCUAUGUAAGACAGAUGUGAAAUCCCUGGGCUUAACCUAGGAACUGCAUUUGUGACUGCAUGGCUAGAGUGUGGUAGAGGGAGAUGGAAUUCCGCAUGUAGCAGUGAAAUGCGUAGAUAUGCGGAGGAACACCGAUGGCGAAGGCAGCCAUCUGGACCGACACUGACGCUGAGGCGCGAAAGCGUGGGGAGCAAACAGG
This 253-nucleotide ribosomal RNA is filed under the name uncultured bacterium. Its description in RNAcentral is "partial 16S ribosomal RNA". It matches the Rfam family "Bacterial small subunit ribosomal RNA", at positions 524 to 776 of the family's 1533-position model. The record is from RNAcentral.